Molecule: unclassified non-coding RNA, 376 nt
Filed under: uncultured Micrococcaceae bacterium
Lineage: Bacteria; Bacillati; Actinomycetota; Actinomycetes; Micrococcales; Micrococcaceae
Description: contains 16S-23S intergenic spacer region
Source: RNAcentral
UCCGAGUUGACCCCGGCAGUCUCCCAUGAGUCCCCACCAUCACGUGCUGGCAACAUGGAACGAGGGUUGCGCUCGUUGCGGGACUUAACCCAACAUCUCACGACACGAGCUGACGACAACCAUGCACCACCUGUAAACCGGCCGCAAGCGGGGCACCUGUUUCCAGGCGUUUCCGGUUCAUGUCAAGCCUUGGUAAGGUUCUUCGCGUUGCAUCGAAUUAAACCACAUGCUCCGCUGCUUGUGCGGGUCCCCGUCAAUUCCUUUGAGUUUUAGCCUUGCGGCCGUACUCCCCAGGCGGGGCACUUAAUGCGUUAGCUGCGCCACUGAAGGGUAAACCCUCCAACGGCUAGCUCUCAUAGUUUACGGCGUGGACUAC